RNAcentral lists this transfer RNA (73 nucleotides) under Candidatus Omnitrophota bacterium. RNAcentral's name for it is "tRNA-Met". It matches the Rfam family "tRNA". Rfam says of the family: Transfer RNA (tRNA) molecules are approximately 80 nucleotides in length. Lineage: Bacteria; Pseudomonadati; Candidatus Omnitrophota. The record is from RNAcentral.
GGCGGUGUAGCUCAGUAGGCAGAGCAGCGGACUCAUAAGCCGCGGGUCACAGGUUCGAGUCCUGUCACCGCCA